UCAAGCGAACAAGUGCAUGUGGUGGAUGCCUUGGCGAUCACAGGCGAUGAAGGACGCGGUAGCCUGCGAAAAGCUACGGGGAGCUGGCAAACGAGCUUUGAUCCGUAGAUGUCCGAAUGGGGAAACCCACUCCUUAUGGAGUAUCCAUGGCUGAAUACAUAGGCCAUGUGAAGCGAACGCGGUGAACUGAAACAUCUAAGUAACCGCAGGAAAAGAAAUCAACCGAGAUUCCCAAAGUAGUGGCGAGCGAAAUGGGAUGAGCCUUGCACUCUUUAUUUGUAUUGUUAGCCGAACGCUCUGGAAAGUGCGGCCAUAGCAGGUGAUAGCCCUGUAGGCGAAAACAGUAUGAAAGAACUAGGUGUGCGACAAGUAGGGCGGGACACGUGAAAUCCUGUCUGAAGAUGGGGGGACCAUCCUCCAAGGCUAAAUACUCGUGAUCGACCGAUAGUGAACCAGUACCGUGAGGGAAAGGCGAAAAGAACCCCGGGAGGGGAGUGAAAUAGAUCCUGAAACCGCAUGCAUACAAACAGUCGGAGCCUCGUAAGGGGUGACGGCGUACCUUUUGUAUAAUGGGUCAGCGACUUACGUUCAGUAGCAAGCUUAACCGUAUAGGGCAGGCGUAGCGAAAGCGAGUCCGAAUAGGGCGUUCAGUUGCUGGGCGUAGACCCGAAACCAGGUGAUCUAUCCAUGGCCAGGAUGAAGGUGCGGUAACACGUACUGGAGGUCCGAACCCACUAACGUUGAAAAGUUAGGGGAUGAGCUGUGGAUAGGGGUGAAAGGCUAAACAAACCUGGAAAUAGCUGGUUCUCUCCGAAAACUAUUUAGGUAGUGCCUCGUGUCUCACCUUCGGGGGUAGAGCACUGUCAUGGUUGGGGGGUCUAUUGCAGAUUACCCCGCCAUAGCAAACUCCGAAUACCGAAGAGUGCAAUCACGGGAGACAGACAUCGGGUGCUAACGUCCGGUGUCAAGAGGGAAACAACCCAGACCGCCAGCUAAGGUCCCCAAAUAUGGCUAAGUGGGAAACGAAGUGGGAAGGCUAAAACAGUCAGGAGGUUGGCUUAGAAGCAGCCACCCUUUAAAGAAAGCGUAAUAGCUCACUGAUCGAGUCGUCCUGCGCGGAAGAUGUAACGGGGCUAAGCCAUAUACCGAAGCUGCGGAUGCGAGCUAGUCUCGCAUGGUAGGAGAGCGUUCCGUAAGCCUGCGAAGGUGCCUUGUAAAGGGUGCUGGAGGUAUCGGAAGUGCGAAUGCUGACAUGAGUAGCGAUAAAGGGGGUGAAAGGCCCCCUCGCCGUAAGCCCAAGGUUUCCUACGCAACGUUCAUCGGCGUAGGGUGAGUCGGCCCCUAAGGCGAGGCAGAAAUGCGUAGCUGAUGGGAAGCAGGUCAAUAUUCCUGCACCGUCGUUAGAUGCGAUGGGGGGACGGAUCGCGGAAGGUUGUCCGGGUGUUGGAAGUCCCGGUCGCUGCAUUGGAGAAGGCGCUUAGGCAAAUCCGGGCGCAGGAUUCAAGGGUGUGGCGCGAGCUCCCUCGGGAGCGAAGCAAUUGGAAGUGGUUCCAAGAAAAGCCUCUAAGCUUCAGUCUAACGAUGACCGUACCGCAAACCGACACAGGUGGGCGAGAUGAGUAUUCUAAGGCGCUUGAGAGAACUCGGGAGAAGGAACUCGGCAAAUUGGUACCGUAACUUCGGGAUAAGGUACGCCCUUGUAGCUUGACUGGCCUGCGCCAGGAGGGUGAAGGGGUUGCAAUAAACUGGUGGCUGCGACUGUUUAAUAAAAACACAGCACUCUGCAAACACGAAAGUGGACGUAUAGGGUGUGACGCCUGCCCGGUGCCGGAAGAUUAAAUGAUGGGGUGCAAGCUCUUGAUUGAAGUCCCGGUAAACGGCGGCCGUAACUAUAACGGUCCUAAGGUAGCGAAAUUCCUUGUCGGGUAAGUUCCGACCUGCACGAAUGGCGUAACGAUGGCCACACUGUCUCCUCCCGAGACUCAGCGAAGUUGAAGUGUUUGUGAUGAUGCAAUCUACCCGCGGCUAGACGGAAAGACCCCAUGAACCUUUACUGUAGCUUUGCAUUGGACUUUGAACCGAUCUGUGUAGGAUAGGUGGGAGGCUAUGAAACCGGAACGCCAGUUUCGGUGGAGCCGUCCUUGAAAUACCACCCUGGUUUGUUUGAGGUUCUAACCUUGGCCCGUGAUCCGGGUCGGGGACAGUGCAUGGUAGGCAGUUUGACUGGGGCGGUCUCCUCCCAAAGCGUAACGGAGGAGUACGAAGGUACGCUAGGUACGGUCGGAAAUCGUGCUGAUAGUGCAAUGGCAUAAGCGUGCUUAACUGCGAGACCGACAAGUCGAGCAGGUGCGAAAGCAGGUCAUAGUGAUCCGGUGGUUCUGUAUGGAAGGGCCAUCGCUCAACGGAUAAAAGGUACUCUGGGGAUAACAGGCUGAUACCGCCCAAGAGUUCAUAUCGACGGCGGUGUUUGGCACCUCGAUGUCGGCUCAUCUCAUCCUGGGGCUGUAGCCGGUCCCAAGGGUAUGGCUGUUCGCCAUUUAAAGAGGUACGUGAGCUGGGUUUAAAACGUCGUGAGACAGUUUGGUCCCUAUCUGCCGUGGGCGUUGGAUAUUUGAAGGGGGCUGCUCCUAGUACGAGAGGACCGGAGUGGACGAACCUCUGGUGUACCGGUUGUGACGCCAGUCGCAUCGCCGGGUAGCUAUGUUCGGAAGAGAUAACCGCUGAAAGCAUCUAAGCGGGAAACUCGCCUUAAGAUGAGAUAUCCCUGGAGGCUUGACCUCCUUGAAGGGUCGUUCGAGACCAGGACGUUGAUAGGUCGGGUGUGUAAGCGCAGUAAUGCGUUCAGCUAACCGAUACUAAUUGCCCGUAAGGCUUGAUCCU
This 2880-nucleotide ribosomal RNA is filed under the name Burkholderia sp. MSHR3999. RNAcentral describes it as "bacterial LSU rRNA". It matches the Rfam family "Bacterial large subunit ribosomal RNA". The record is from RNAcentral. Lineage: Bacteria; Pseudomonadati; Pseudomonadota; Betaproteobacteria; Burkholderiales; Burkholderiaceae.